Long non-coding RNA from Sphaeramia orbicularis (orbiculate cardinalfish), 971 nucleotides. RefSeq lists it as uncharacterized. The record is from RefSeq and is a predicted model, not a curated record. Lineage: Eukaryota; Metazoa; Chordata; Actinopteri; Kurtiformes; Apogonidae. The transcript is spliced from 3 exons.
GUUUUAAAAAGCGUCUUUACAUGUUCGCAUUCUUCCCUCCCCAUUCAGGCUCAAGUGAACUUGUGACCAAAUCACUUAUUCCAUAAUCAGUGCAAAAGACCUCAGAUGUCACUGCACUCCGCUCUGUUGUUCUCAAAGGCAUUCCCAUUUUACUUGGUGAUGACUCCAGUGGAUUGUACAUGACAUGCUUUGAUACAGCAAAAGAUGAGGCCCUGGCAUCUGUCACAGUUGGCGUACUAAGUGUUCUCAGUGAAGACAGUCCUCAGGAGGGUCCAAGUUCAAUGCACCUUCAGCCCAUCUCGACUGUCAUUGUACUUGAGGGAGGUAUUGUUGUCAACAAUAUUAAAGACUUUCCUUGGGCAGUUUGCUUGUUGUUUGGACUUGCAUAUGCUUUGCAUUUGGAUUACCCAAAAUUUAUGGCAAACACAUUCAAAUUCAUCCAAACUGUGAUGCUUGGAUUGGGGAACAAAACCCUCCCAGCAAAACUGCUCACUCUGAAAAACAAGCUUUUGGAGUAGUGAAGAGUCAUGAGCUAUCCAGUAACAUGAGGUAACCUUGAGAGAAUACUAAGAUACUCUUGUGAGAGAAACGUGGAAAUAUUAUGCACUUUGUUAUAAAAAAUGUUAGGCCAUUUUUUGAAAUGUUCUUAUGGGUAGCUAAAUUCUUUGUCAAAUUUCACUCAGUGAGUUUUGUGAAAUGGUGCUGGUUAAUUUUUAGUUCACUGGAAUGGUUUUACAGUGGUUGCAAUAGUACGCCCCUGUGGCUGCAAGCGUUGAUUGCUCAUUGUAUUUUUUUUAAGUAAGACAUACAAGGCAAGAACAAUUUGCCAGAAAUGACUCAGGCCAAUAUUGUGCAUUGUUCCAUCUAUGCCCUGAAGAAAAUGUGUUGGCCCUUGUCAAAAAGUAAGACUUUAUUUGGGUGAAAAAAAUCACAGCAGCUCAAUGAAACAAACACAUUUUAGUCAAUGGCUU